UUGUGAUGUCUAAUUUCUGAUAUGGCUGCAGUAUGCUGUGUUUUCUGCAAACUGGUAACCCAGGUUGUUGAAAUAUUACGGGAUAAACUGAAAAACCAUCGUCAGAUUAGAGUGGUCUGCCUAAUCUCAACUGCUUCCACAUUACUGCAGAAGUCACUUUUAAGGGAUUUCCUUGAGCCACCAGAUGCAGGUGCUCUUCAAAGAUCAAAAGAGACCAAAAGCCUGCCAUGAAGAUACAGCGGCUCAAAGGGGGUAUGGCUUCGCUCUGCAGUCUGGGGCCUCCUAACAAG
Molecule: long non-coding RNA, 290 nt
Organism: Sinocyclocheilus rhinocerous
Lineage: Eukaryota; Metazoa; Chordata; Actinopteri; Cypriniformes; Cyprinidae
Exons: 3
Source: RefSeq, a predicted model, not a curated record